UAAUUUUUUUUUUUUUUUUUUUUUGAGAUGGAGUCUCACUAACUCUGUCACCUAGGCUGAAGUGCAGUGGUGCAAUUCUGGCUCACUGCAAGCUCUGCCUUUCAGGUUCAAGCAAUUCUCCUGCCUCAGCCUCCCGAGUAGCUGAGAUUACAGGUGUGUAUCACCACACCCAUCUAAUUUUUGUGUUUUGUUUUAGUGGAGAUGAGGUUUCACCAUGUUGGCCAGGCUGGUCUUGAACUGACCUCAAGUGGUCCACCCACCUCAGCCACCCAAAGUGCUGGGAUUACAGACAUGAGCCACUGUGCCCAGCUGUACCCAGCUAAUUUUUAAAAAUUUUUUUGUAGAGAUGGGGUAUUGCCAUGUUGCUGAGGCUGGUCUUGAAUUCCUGGGCUCAAGCAAUCCUCCGGUCUCAGGCUCCCAAAGUAUUGAGAUUACAGUCAUGAGCCACUGCACCCAGCCUUCUCCAGUAUUUUAACACUGAGUAGAAUUCUAUUGUGAAUUUAUUUAAAGUAUUAAAGUGAUUUGGGAUUGUUUUUAUCUUUUUUAGUCGAUAUGUUUUUCAAUAAUGUUUUAACAUUCUCCAACUAUUCUUAUUUUUUUCCAAAAAAAAAAAAAAA
Molecule: long non-coding RNA, 617 nt
Filed under: Homo sapiens (human)
Lineage: Eukaryota; Metazoa; Chordata; Mammalia; Primates; Hominidae
Description: novel transcript, sense intronic to RABGAP1L
Source: RNAcentral